CUAGCGCACAAUCACCCUCUCCUCCAUGGCUGCCACCACCAUGGCCCUCUCCUCCCCAUCUCUCGCAGGGAAGGCCCUCAGGCUUGCCCCCGAGAUUCUGGGGGAGGGUCGUGUCACCAUGCGUAAGACCGCCGGAAAGCCCAAACCCGUCUCCUCUGGCAGCCCGUGGUACGGCCCUGACCGUGUCAAGUACCUCGGCCCCUUCUCUGGCGAGGCCCCCUCCUACCUCACUGGCGAGUUCCCCGGUGACUAUGGCUGGGACACUGCCGGCCUCUCCGCCGACCCCGAG
This 289-nucleotide unclassified non-coding RNA is filed under the name Hevea brasiliensis (rubber tree). Lineage: Eukaryota; Viridiplantae; Streptophyta; Magnoliopsida; Malpighiales; Euphorbiaceae. The record is from RNAcentral.